RNAcentral lists this non-coding RNA (232 nucleotides) under Lactiplantibacillus fabifermentans. Its description in RNAcentral is "Lactobacillus fabifermentans T-box sequence". It matches the Rfam family "T-box leader". From Rfam's summary of the family: Uncharged tRNA acts as the effector for transcription antitermination of genes in the T-box leader family. T-boxes are found upstream of many aminoacyl-tRNA synthetase genes and some amino acid biosynthetic genes usually in Gram-positive bacteria. Lineage: Bacteria; Bacillati; Bacillota; Bacilli; Lactobacillales; Lactobacillaceae. The record is from RNAcentral.
AUAUUUGCGUUGACGAGAAGAGUAACUACGACAUUAACCAACAGCGAGCCCGGCCGGUGGAAACGGGUGCUUAACUAGUAGUGAAGAUGAGCUCAGAGCAUGUCAGGCGGUUCACGCUGACUGACCGGUUGCAACCGUUAGCUUGCCAGGUAUCAACAGGUACCGUUGAGGCUAAUUGUGCGAGCGAUUAGCGAAGUUAGGGUGGUAACGCGCAAAGUAAAUCGUCCCUUUU